RNAcentral lists this transfer RNA (66 nucleotides) under Mileewa alara. Its description in RNAcentral is "tRNA-Glu". Lineage: Eukaryota; Metazoa; Arthropoda; Insecta; Hemiptera; Cicadellidae. The record is from RNAcentral.
AUUUAUGUAGUUUAAUUAUAAACAUUUUAUUUUCAUUAAAAAAUAAGCUUUAUAAGCUCGUAAAUU